This 725-nucleotide long non-coding RNA is filed under the name Homo sapiens (human). RNAcentral describes it as "HSALNT0369107". Lineage: Eukaryota; Metazoa; Chordata; Mammalia; Primates; Hominidae. The record is from RNAcentral.
UUCACGAAUGCAAACUUCACGAGGCUGCCCGGCCCCAUCCUUUCCAGAAGAUCAUAUCUACAGCAAAACGGUGCUUUAUCCUAGAAAUCCCUUUUCAAUCCAAAUCCUAAUGGAACUCCUUGACAACCCCUUGACUAAAUUACAUUAGUAAUAUAGUUCCUAACAAUUUCCUUUGUUAGGAAGGGGAGCAAAAGGGCAAAAAAAAAAAUCAUUUUUUUAAAAAAAUAAUGAAAAUUGCAAAGGCUUAAAUACUGAAAGAAUUGCUUGCCUCUACAACAAAUCUGUAUCAUUACUAACAAGCGAUAAAAGGCCUUCCGAUGGAUACCAAAUGAGAACCUUCCAGAGGGCCACGGGCGCCCAGCUGGAAACCCCUGCUAAGAGCAUCUGCAGUCUGAACCCACAGUGACUGCGCGUCUUCUCUGGAUGCCAUUAACAGACCUCUGCGAAGGGAGGCUUCGGCUGCUCCACGUCAGCUUUAGGAUUGGCUCUGAGUCAAUACAAGUAGGAAGUUCAACUGGUUCCCUGGGUGUUCAUUCCUGGUUGGAGAGCUGUUUGGGAGGCUGGGAAGGUCCAUUAGAAGCAUAAUUCUAUUCCAGAGGUGGCUUGGCAGAUGGAGCAUAUCAUGGGUUAAUUUCUCAGCAUGUCACAGAAAGCAAUUCCUACUAGACCUGAAGAAAGUGGCUUCUCUCUUAACAGAAUGUUAUCUUCUUCUAGAGAGUAAUAUG